AUUGAACGCUGGCGGCAUGCUUUACACAUGCAAGUCGAACGGUAACAGGUUAAGCUGACGAGUGGCGAACGGGUGAGUAAUGCAUCGGAACGUGCCCGGUCGUGGGGGAUAACGCAGCGAAAGCUGCGCUAAUACCGCAUACGAUCUGAGGAUGAAAGCGGGGGACCGUAAGGCCUCGCGCGAUCGGAGCGGCCGAUGUCAGAUUAGGUAGUUGGUGGGGUAAAGGCUCACCAAGCCGACGAUCUGUAGCUGGUCUGAGAGGACGACCAGCCACACUGGGACGUAGACACGGCCCAGACUCCAACGGGAGGCAGCAGUGGGGAAUUUUGGACAAUGGGCGCAAGCCUGAUCCAGCGAUGCCGCGUGCAGGAAGAAGGCCUUCGGGUUGUAAACUGCUUUUGUACGGAACGAAAAGGCUCUCUCUAAUACAGGGAGCUCAUGACGGUACCGUAAGAAUAAGCACCGGCUAACUACGUGCCAGCCGCCGCGGUAA
RNAcentral lists this ribosomal RNA (493 nucleotides) under uncultured bacterium. RNAcentral describes it as "partial 16S ribosomal RNA". It matches the Rfam family "Bacterial small subunit ribosomal RNA", at positions 29 to 523 of the family's 1533-position model. The record is from RNAcentral.